GCAUUGUGACCCGGCGGACUUAAGCAUAUCAAUAAGCGGAGGAAAAGAAACCAACAGGGAUUGCCCUAGUAACGGCGAGUGAAGCGGCAACAGCUCAAAUUUGAAAUCUGGCUCUUUCAGAGUCCGAGUUGUAAUUUGCAGAGGGUGCUUUGGUGGUAGUUGCGGUCUAAGUUCUUUGGAACAGGACGUCACAGAGGGUGAGAAUCCCGUAUGUGGUCGCUACUUAUCACCGUGUAAAGCCCCUUCGACGAGUCGAGUUGUUUGGGAAUGCAGCUCUAAAUGGGAGGUAAAUUUCUUCUAAAGCUAAAUACUGGCCAGAGACCGAUAGCGCACAAGUAGAGUGAUCGAAAGAUGAAAAGCACUUUGGAAAGAGAGUCAAAUAGCACGUGAAAUUGUUGAAAGGGAAGCGCUUGCAGCCAGACUUGCCUGUAGUUGCUUACCUAGACUUUUGUCUGGGGUACUCUUCUGCAGGCAGGCCAGCAUCAGUUUGGGCGGUUGGAUAAAGGUCUCUGUCACGUACCUCCUUUCGGGGAGGCCUUAUAGGGGAGACGUCAUACAACCAGCCUGGACUGAGGUCCGCGCAUCUGCUAGGAUGCUGGCGUAAUGGCUGUAAGCGGCCCGUCUUGAAACACGGACCAAGGAGUCUAACAUCUAUGCGAGUGUUUGGGUGUCAAGCCCAUACGCGUAAUGAAAGUGAACGGAGGUGGGAACCUUAGGGUGCACCAUCGACCGAUCCUGAUGUCUUCGGAUGGAUUUGAGUAAGAGCAUGGCUGUUGGGACCCGAAAGAUGGUGAACUAUGCUUGAAUAGGGUGAAGCCAGAGGAAACUCUGGUGGAGGCUCGCAGCGGUUCUGACGUGCAAAUCGAUCGUCAAAUUUGGGCAUAGGGGCGAAAGACUAAUCGAACUAUCUAGUAGC
RNAcentral lists this ribosomal RNA (916 nucleotides) under Pleosporales sp. REF107. RNAcentral describes it as "eukaryotic LSU rRNA". It matches the Rfam family "Eukaryotic large subunit ribosomal RNA", at positions 23 to 951 of the family's 3401-position model. Lineage: Eukaryota; Fungi; Ascomycota; Dothideomycetes; Pleosporales. The record is from RNAcentral.